GGGGGGAUAACUGCGCGAAAGCGUUGCUAAUACCGCAUACGACCUACGGGUGAAAGCAGGGGACCGCAAGGCCUUGCGUCGAUGGAGCGGCCGAUGCCGGAUUAGCUAGUUGGUGAGGUAAAGGCUCACCAAGGCGACGAUCCGUAGCUGGUCUGAGAGGACGACCCAGCCACACUGGGACUGAGACACGGCCCAGACUCCUACGGGAGGCAGCAGUGGGGAAUCUUGGACAAUGGGCGAAAGCCUGAUCCAGCAAUGCCGCGUGUGGGAAGAAGGCCUUCGGGUUGUAAACCACUUUUGGCGGGAAAGAAAUGGUCUGUGCUAAUACCACGGAUUGAUGACGGUACCCGCAGAAUAAGCACCGGCUAACUACGUG
RNAcentral lists this ribosomal RNA (376 nucleotides) under uncultured bacterium. Its description in RNAcentral is "bacterial SSU rRNA". It matches the Rfam family "Bacterial small subunit ribosomal RNA", at positions 137 to 507 of the family's 1533-position model. The record is from RNAcentral.